CGUGAUUUUAUAGUUUCUCACUUUGCCCCCCUGUGGUUUAAACUGUAUCAAUUUGGCCCCCCGUGGUUUCUUUUUCUCUUUUUCUUAUCAAUUUACUUAUUUUUUUUUCUUAAAUCAGUGAUAAAGUUAAAAUUAAAGAGUACUAAAGUGAAUAUUUGAUAAAUUUAGAUGGAUAUCUGAAGUUUUUUGUAUAUAAUUUAAUGAAAUAUUAACGAAAAAGCUACCGAAAAGAUAAAAACGAAACCAUAGGGGGGCAAUUUGAUACAUUUUAAACCACAGGGGGACAAAGUGAGAAACUACGAAACCACAGGGGGGGUUUUGAAGUUUUCCCAUAUUUUUAUAUUUAGUGGGAUAUAAAUGAUGUUUAAGUGUUUAAAUGUGUAUUUAUGAUAUUUUUAACUUUAAAGGAUUAUGUUUAUGGAUUAUAACCUUAAAAUUU
Molecule: long non-coding RNA, 439 nt
Filed under: Ananas comosus (pineapple)
Lineage: Eukaryota; Viridiplantae; Streptophyta; Magnoliopsida; Poales; Bromeliaceae
Description: long non-coding RNA (ACOM_LNC001283)
Source: RNAcentral